AUGGGUUGUCGUAUGCUCCCCUAUCAACUGGAAUUCUUCGGUACCGAGAACCUGACACGGAUUGAAAUUGUGGGCGAAAGAGGUCAAAGGCCAGCACUCUAUGCGAGGAAUGACAAUCUAUACAUCGUUGCGGUUGAGAACAGGUUUGCACAAAUAUAUGAACUUGCAUCAGAGACGAAAACGAAACCCACAGGGAAGACUGGCAAUGAAACAAAACCUACUGACGACAAUGACAGUUUAGGAGGCCCUAGAAAUCGUUUAUUUAAGAAUUCUAUCCUUCUGAAGUGCCACUGUGAUUAUCGAAGUCUUGUUGACUACAAUCCAGAAGAUCCAACGGAAAGAGAUGAGCAAAACAAGAAGCUAAAAACUGAGCUAUACAUAAAGAGGUUUAUCGAGGUGCUCGACAAGUUGGCACUCACCGAAGAAUGUAUAAAUGUUCUCUGGAACUAUACUGGGGAUCCCGCUCAGUAUAAAGAAUUCAUUCAGACUGUGAUGACAUGUGCAAUUAUGCUUUGUGAAACAGCAAGAUUUAGGAUAGUAUACAACGCUGUGUUCAAGGAUUUCAAGUGUGAGAGCAAACUUUUAAUGUAUGUGAUAUGGAACUGGAAGCACAUGUCAAAUGCUAUAAAGAACUCGAAGACUUCAGGGGAGAUUUCAGACCAUCUGGUUCGAGAGCUUAGAAAUUGUCAAGUUGAGGUGGACAUGGAGACCAUAGCAAGUAUGCUAUACCUUGUUCUUAAUUGCUUUCUCCCUAUCCUGUAUAAUGAUGAUUGGAAGGCUGUCUAG
Molecule: ribosomal RNA, 786 nt
Filed under: Triticum aestivum (bread wheat)
Lineage: Eukaryota; Viridiplantae; Streptophyta; Magnoliopsida; Poales; Poaceae
Description: partial small subunit ribosomal RNA
Source: RNAcentral